This 575-nucleotide ribosomal RNA is filed under the name uncultured bacterium. RNAcentral describes it as "partial 16S ribosomal RNA". It matches the Rfam family "Bacterial small subunit ribosomal RNA", at positions 355 to 922 of the family's 1533-position model. The record is from RNAcentral.
UGGGGAAUUUUGGACAAUGGGCGAAAGCCUGAUCCAGCAAUGCCGCGUGUGUGAAGAAGGCCUUCGGGUUGUAAAGCACUUUUGUCCGGAAAGAAAUCCUUGGCUCUAAUACAGUCGGGGGAUGACGGUACCGGAAGAAUAAGCACCGGCUAACUACGUGCCAGCAGCCGCGGUAAUACGUAGGGUGCAAGCGUUAAUCGGAAUUACUGGGCGUAAAGCGUGCGCAGGCGGUUUGCUAAGACCGAUGUGAAGUCCCCGGGCUCAACCUGGGAACUGCAUUGGUGACUGGCAGGCUAGAGUACGGCAGAGGGGGGUAGAAUUCCACGUGUAGCAGUGAAAUGCGUAGAGAUGUGGAGGAAUACCGAUGGCGAAGGCAGCCCCCUGGGCCAAUACUGACGCUCAUGCACGAAAGCGUGGGGGAGCAAACAGGAUUAGAUACCCUGGUAGUCCACGCCCUAAACGAUGUCAACUAGUUGUUGGGGAUUCAUUUCCUUAGUAACGUAGCUAACGCGUGAAGUUGACCGCCUGGGGAGUACGGUCGCAAGAUUAAAACUCAAAUGAAUUGACGGGGUCAU